CCGACCCUCAGUAGGAGCU
Molecule: small nuclear RNA, 19 nt
Filed under: Arabidopsis thaliana (thale cress)
Lineage: Eukaryota; Viridiplantae; Streptophyta; Magnoliopsida; Brassicales; Brassicaceae
Description: snRNA_13913
Source: RNAcentral